This 116-nucleotide ribosomal RNA is filed under the name Lentibacillus salicampi. The record is from RNAcentral. Lineage: Bacteria; Bacillati; Bacillota; Bacilli; Caryophanales; Bacillaceae.
UCUGGCAGUAAUAGCGGAGAGGACACACCUGUUCCCAUGCCGAACACAGCAGUUAAGCUCUCCAGCGCCGAUGGUAGUUGGGGUUUUACCCCUGCAAGAGUAGGACGCCGCCAGGC